GACAACAAUUCACCAAAGCUGCACCACCUGAGUCCCAACUCCGACCAACUUCCUACUGCUGUAGCGUAUGUAGUCGGAGGACGGGUUAGGACAGAACAGGGUGGUAAGGCUCGGACAAGAGCCUUAAAGGAGGGAAUGUUAACAGCCCCGUUAUCAUUGCACAGGCCUACCUGUCCCUGCCAACUUCGCUGUUUGGUUGCCAUGACAGCAGGGCCAGAGUGUUCUGUAGUCUCCAUAGCAAUCUGUCCUAAGUCUUUUCAAAUCUGGCCAAAGGUCUUGUCAGGCCCAGAAGAAACAGCUUCACUACAACAGCUUCUAUUCAACUUCAAUUUAUAGACUUUCUCUUGCCAUAUAACAUAUCUAUCAAUAACUCCAAAAUCACACCUUCCCAGAACAACAGUGACCCCCCCAGACCAACGGUGACCUCCCAGGCUGACAGUGACCCCCUAAGCCAACGGUGACCCCCCAGACCAACAGUGACCUUCCAGGCUGACAGUGACCCCCCUAAGCCAACGGUGACCCCCCAGACCAACAGUGACCUCCCGGACUAACAGUGACCCCCCAUACUAACAGUGACCCCUCCCAGACUAACAGUAACCCCCAGAUCAAGUGACCCCUCCAGACCAACAAUGACCCCCAAACCAACAGUGACCUCCUCAGACCAACAGUGACCCCCAAACCAACAAUGACCCCUCCCAGACUAAUAGUGACCCCUCCCAGACCAACAAUUACCCCUCCCAGAUUAACAGUGACCCCCCCCAGAUCAACAGUGAACCCUCCCAGACUAACAGUGAACCCUCUCAGACUACCAGUGACCCCUCCAGACCAACAGUGACCCCUCCCAGACUAACAGUGACUCCCUAAAUCAACAGUGACCCCUCCAAACCAACAGUGACAGCAUACAUACAGCUUCUCUCCACCUUGAGUUGCUAAACCAGGUUGAGUCUUGUGGUUUAAACCCAGCAGACCCUUUAACCUGAACACAAACACCUGGAACUGUUCUUCUGCGGCUACAAUAAAACAUCUUGGAAAUAGAUUCCUGUACAUCUGAAAGCCUCCAAUCUCAGGACGUCUUGCCCGAGUCUCUACAGCCUUCCAGCCCCAGCGCCCUCGCAUACCCGGGCUCCUCUGGCUGGGCUCGUUCCGGAUCUUGCGCCCUCAAGCCGCCGCUCAGCGGGGACCCACGCUUGCACUUCCUUCCCGGAGCUCUCUGGCUCCGGACACACCGCAUUCACCUCGGGAUGAAGACUCGGAUAGCACUAGAAAAAUGGGAGUUCCCGGAUGAGGCUCGAUCGCAGAAGUCAGAGCCUUCUCCGCGCGUGCAGCCACGGCACGGGACUGGACGCCACCUUCGGAGCUUGGCCACUGUUCAGGACCCUGGAGAUUCGGCCCUGAGCCUCACUAUGCAGACACCGGCGCACCAGGGGUAUUGGGGUGCCAGCCAAAACCCCACAGAGCUGCCCGAAGCGACUUCUUGGUGGAGUUUUCAGGAAACGCUCUCUUCGUUCGCAGUAGCUGGCAGUUUACCCAGUGGUGAAAAUGCCGCAGACUCUGGAGCUGUUCGGAUCCGUCUCCACGCCGCCCUCCAGCUCCCGGAACCUUAGAGGGACACCUUUCUCCUCCUUGCAUCUAUCGGCGUCCUCUGCACUGGAAUCUGCCUUGCGCUUUCGAACCGUCGAGCUGGGAGGCCGAGGCUCAUCCAGGACUCUGCAGCGGCGAGCAGGCUGCCUGCGGUCUUGGAAUACGCUUCCCAUCCGAAGCGCGAAGUCUUUGCUAGUUUAAAAUCCUUUGCGUUUUUUACGGAAAGCAAGAGAAAAAGGAAGCUCCGACUACGACCUGCAAAGCUGAGGUCCUAGCUAGUUUCGGGCGCGUAUGUGCGCCCCAGGAACAUGAAAGAUGCUAGACCAGCGGCCCGAGAAGGGCACAGACCUCCGACGACUCUACAGGUCAUGCUGGGACCCAAGAACAGAUUCUGAUGACUAGAGAUCGGCGAUCUGGUGCCAGAUUUGCCCUUAAGGACUACUGGCAAACUUCAAACUGGCAUUUAUUAGCAGGCCAGAUGUCUUGUAGAUUGUACCACAAACCCCGAUUUCUUUAAUUAUGUUUUGUCUUAAGUAGCCCAGGCUGCCUCAAACUCACCAUGUAGCUGAGGAUGACCUUGAGCUUUUGAAUGUGUUUUUGUCUGUCUGUUUGUUUGUUUGUUUUAA
This is a non-coding RNA of Peromyscus maniculatus bairdii (prairie deer mouse), 2207 nucleotides long. NCBI's taxonomy places the organism in Eukaryota, Metazoa, Chordata, Mammalia, Rodentia, Cricetidae. The record is from RefSeq and is a predicted model, not a curated record.